RNAcentral lists this ribosomal RNA (559 nucleotides) under uncultured fungus. RNAcentral describes it as "eukaryotic LSU rRNA". The stretch from base 189 to 342 matches the Rfam family "5.8S ribosomal RNA". Lineage: Eukaryota; Fungi. The record is from RNAcentral.
AGUCGUGACAAGGUUUCCGUAGGUGAACCUGCGGAAGGAUCAUUACCUAGAGUUUGUAGACUUCGGUCUGCUACCUCUUACCCAUGUCUUUUGAGUACCUUCGUUUCCUCGGCGGGUCCGCCCGCCGAUUGGACAACAUUCAAACCCUUUGCAGUUGCAAUCAGCGUCUGAAAAAACAUAAUAGUUACAACUUUCAACAACGGAUCUCUUGGUUCUGGCAUCGAUGAAGAACGCAGCGAAAUGCGAUAAGUAGUGUGAAUUGCAGAAUUCAGUGAAUCAUCGAAUCUUUGAACGCACAUUGCGCCCCUUGGUAUUCCAUGGGGCAUGCCUGUUCGAGCGUCAUUUGUACCUUCAAGCUCUGCUUGGUGUUGGGUGUUUUGUCUCGCCUCUGCGUGUAGACUCGCCUUAAAACAAUUGGCAGCCGGCGUAUUGAUUUCGGAGCGCAGUACAUCUCGCGCUUUGCACUCAUAACGGCGACGUCCAAAAGUACAUUUUUACACUCUUGACCUCGGAUCAGGUAGGGAUACCCGCUGAACUUAAGCAUAUCAAUAAAAAGUCG